Long non-coding RNA from Gallus gallus (chicken), 318 nucleotides. NCBI's taxonomy places the organism in Eukaryota, Metazoa, Chordata, Aves, Galliformes, Phasianidae. The record is from Ensembl.
GAUCACUUCUCUUGGAGCCCUUCUGCGAGCAUAGGAUAUGGUUUUUAUUGAUGUAAAUCCAGGCGUGGGGCCUCCAAAAAAGAAGAACAUGGAGCUGCUGGAGUGAGUCUAUAGGAAGGUCUCCAAGUUCAGCAGAUCUUCCUGUGUGCAUCUUCAGGCUUUGGACAAGCAUGGGUCUUUUCUUGCUUUGAGAACCUCAUCCUCCUUACAGAAGUGCUGACCGAGUGCAGUUCGGUGUACUCUUUACAGCAGGAGGCACUGUGACAGUUUAGGACAUUGCUCCUUAAUGUAAUUUGAAAUGAAAGAGAUCACUCUCUC